UCAGAGCUAUGAUGAAAAAAAAAAUAUGCUAAGUCAUUUCAGUAGACUACUGUAAAACACCGAUCACCGUUCUAAAUUUGAACCAUGGUAACCCAACCUCAUUUCUCAUACUGUAUAAAAUGAUUAAAACUAAAUAAAAGCUUGUAAAUAAUAAAUUAUUAGGGCUUUGUCCCAAACAAUGUGAAUCGUAGGUGACAGCGGCGAGUGAUGCGGUAGACAUCGCCUCAACUUAACUUUCAUUGCCUGAUAAAAGUGCCAGUGAAACGGAAAGCAUAAAUUAAAAUUCACGAUUUAAAAUCAUAACAGUAGGUGUGGUUAGAAAACUGAAAGGACGCUAUGAAUAGCUCUUAAAAUUAGCGGGAAAUCUCAAGGCAACAACAUGACAUUCCUAAGUAAGACCACUGGAAAUUUUGUAAGUCACUCUAGAUAUAGACUCCUAACUCAGGGUGUGGACUACUUCACCAAUUUAAUUAAUUAAAUAAUUAAAUAGUAUGGCUUUUUAUUAGGUAUAUAUUUCUAAAGUAUUUAAGAUGAAAUAUAUACUAAAUUCGGGCCCCGCGUUGGGCGCCAUUGUUGAAUUCCCGAUUUUAGACCAAUGGGAAUAGAGCAUGUAAGGAGUGACUUAGUAAAAUUUCCUUAUUAAGAUAUACAAGUGUGACAUAGAAAUAGACAAAUAUAGGACUUAAACAGCUAAGGUUAUACUUGAGGAGAUAGAAUAUCAGAUAAUAUAUAGGGUACAGAAGGAUUUGAGGACUACGCAACCCCAAGUGAAAACUUUCUUCCAUGCCAGGCGUGGGAGGGAUCCCCCAAAGGAGGCCCAAAAUCGGGAGGCCCGUUGACAGGUCCUUCCUGGAAUAUAUAGGGCAUCGGGAAGGUCUAUGGAAUGUGGAGUUCCAACGUCCACCCCCCCUUUUUCCUUCUUCUUCUACGAAAGAGAUAAUGGCGGGCCCCCCCAAAGAGGGCUCAGCUAUCCCUUUAUGAGACUUCUGGAAUAAUGUCCUUCCUUGACUUUAUUCGCGAAAGCUAGUACGACUUAUUCUUUACUAUCCUCCCUCAAUACCCUUGUCUAGCACCAAUCUCUUCCAGAAUUAUCCAUUAUCCACUUUCGACAGUACAUGUGGUCAGCAAUUUAUUGGAAGGCUUGAUUGUUAGUAACAUUCCCUCCAAAUAGGUAAUAAUCAUACAAUAUUUCAUUUAAACAGUGAAAGAAGGGCAAAUUCCUCAUAUAAAAAUACCUAUUACUAAAACCUGACAAAGAGAUACCCUCAAAGCGGGUAGAAUCAUAUUUACCGCUGUUUCUGUGUUAAAGUAUCACAAUAAGGUACAAUACACAACUCCAUUCCAUUAGAGCCGGAAGCUCUAUAUUUCAGUACAAUUUGUAAUAAUAAGAUGUGGGGGGUAGUACCAUAAAACAAAAGAAUGAAAAAUGUAUGAGGGGAAACAAAACUCUCCAUAUAAGUUGUAUACUAGAUAUUUAUUCAGAUUAGGUAAAAAUUUUGGGGACAUUUCCAUACUAGCGAGAUAUGCUAUUUACAUAAUGAUCUAGAUAGAGGUGACUUAAGGUUACAAAUUUGCCUUUAUAAAGGGGAAAGCCUAGAUCUCCAUCUAUUCUGGCGGGACAAAAUAUAAGAUCCUUAUCAUUCCCUUUAAGUUACUUAAAGCCCUUUAGGGCCCAUGCGAAAUCUAAAUAAAUUAGUUUCUGCUCGAAAAAAGGGGGUCCUAAGCCAUAAUGGCGAGGGGCUUACCUUCUCUCGAAAGCGGCGGCAAGGUCUGGUCUCCUCUACGUCUCAGGCCCGACUGUCGACUCUGGUUGAAUCUCUCCUGUCACUGAGUGACUCUGUGUAUGUCCCCCGAUUUAGCAAAGAAAGCCUCUUUUAUCCUUGCCUCUCUCCAUUUUCAUUCGCUGCUCACGCCAAAGUUUCUAUUGGCUGGCAUUUUCAUUCGUCGAAAGCCAACACGCACGUGAUCAUGGCCACGCCUCCAAUUUACCGUGUUGCCGCGUGAAAAAAAAAAUUGUAUAUUGAAAAACAAAUUAAUUCCUUUAGGAAAUUAAAUAAUAUAUAUAUCCCGAGUAUUUAAAAAAAAAAAAGGUUAUUGAUUUAAAUGUUUAUAUGACAAAUUGUUUUCCUUUGGUCACCUCUAACUAAAAUGAGGGGGAUAUAUGUACAUAUGGUACAGCAGCUCCCAGCACGGAUGUCUCUGGAUGUCACUCGUGUCUUCCUCUCCACCAGGCAUCAGCUUUCGGCAUGGAAGUCUGGUGUCCUCAAGUGUCUAGUUUUAUUUGUAUGUGUGCUCUUUGUACACCCUUCGUCUCGGCCCUUCUGCAGCGGGCUUUGGGUCUUUAGAGCACCGUCGGCCAUCGUUGGGAGUUCUCCACCUAGGCAACAAACACCUCGGCGAGACUCUGCGUAUAUGUUUAUAUGAUGUAAAUGAAUGUUUACAUCUUUGUUGGGUCUGUUUGGUGAAAAUCUGACCCAACAAUAUCAUUUAGAUCCACUCCUCCCAUAUACUUAUCAUAAAUAUUUUUUACCUGGGGAUACUCAGAGUUUGGUCUUCUUGGCUUGGUUUCAGAGAUUGUAUCACAGUAGGUGGACAAGAAUCUUACAGGUGGUUUAGAAGGUUUUUCCUUGUAGUUGUGAAUGCUUCUCAGGAACGUUGUAAUAUGGUGUUGGAUGUUUUCCUUUCAUCUCUCUCGAAAAUAAUUUCGGUGUCCGAAGAACUGCUUGAUUCUAAAUCUAAAUCCAGAUCAUAAACCUCAGUACAGGAGUCAUUUUCUGAGGACAUUUUACUAAAAAAAUAUUGUUUACAAAAAGAACCAGAAAAAUAAGCAAUCAACUGGACAGGAAGGAGAAAUGUUUAGCUGUAAUAUGACUUAGUGGUUAUAUCUCCCACAGCCACUCGCAUGUUUUCAAUAAAACUAAUUUUUCUAACUCUCUUCCACAAAAUUGAGCUUUUAGGCAAGCAUUUAUCUCAUCUGCAGGUGUAGAUUUCGGUAUUACUGGAAGGGUUUGCCGGAAAUCUCUACAGAGAACCACCAGUGCUCCUCCCAUAAGGUUCUCAUUACCCCUCAUGUGACAUUCAUGGCUUCUAGAGCUUUCUUGUGUGCCAUUGUGCACUCAUCCCAAACAAUCAACUUACAUGUUCGUAACACUUGUGCCAUACCACUUUUCUUGCUAAUAUUACAGGUAGGACUCUGUUGCCUGGCAAUAUCUAACGGUAGUUUAAAAGCUGAAUGGGCUGUUCUUCCUCCAUCCAUCACCGUGGCAGCAAUCCCAGAUGAGGCGAUGGCAAGGGCCACUUCACCCUGCGAUCUUAUCUCGGCCAGUAAUAAAUUUGUCAAAAAUGAACAUGAAGUGGGUAUCUUCUUUGGAAGGGAUCACCUGAUUUGAACGCAGAUUUCUUUUAUUGUAGCUAGUCUGUUGUCUUGUAACCCUUGUUGAUCUUCUGAGGAGGAGGGCAUCACUAAUAGACAUGUCAGCUCCUCUUCUCUGUCGUUGCCUUCUGGUUGCCUGUCGUUGUCUUCUGGCUUUUUUUUAGGGUGUUUGAAACAAUGUCUCUGUCUAAUACUACUGAACAUGAAGUGGAGGGGGGAGAUCAUGUGACGGCUGAUUGGAUGACUCAAGUUCAUCGACGACCGAUCGGCCGGCUUGCGCCUAAAGGGUUAAAGCUGAAAUAACUGUAUGGGAAUUUUUGGUUAGUGAUUGGUGAGUCAAUUAGUUGAUUGGCAGAUUACUGAGUGAACACAAAAGAUUUGGUAAUGGCUGGUGAGUCAGUAUGUGGUGUACCGAAAUUGGAGGAGUCAACACGCGAGUCUGUUUGUUCUGGUCAUAGGGCUGAGAGGCCAAGUUGAGCUCAUUGAAGAGCUUGUGGAGCCUCACAGACCCGGGACUGAUGUCGUUCCGCAUGGCUUCCAGUUGCCGGAAGAAGUAUUCCGCUGGAUAGGUCCUGUCGUAAGAUGCCAUAGUAGUUGGGCCGGAUGAAAGUGGCGGGCGGCGCAAAAAUGUCCAUGUAGCGUUCCCCAUCUAUUGCGAUUUCACCGCCACUCUGUGUUGUGACGACGAUCUAAGUUCUAUAGAGGUAGUCGAUCACCUCUAUUCUUGGUCGGCGGGGGUUGAAGGUUCAAAAUUAAGGUGUCGCUGCUUAUAGCACUAUUAAAAUAUUAGACGAAAACAGGAGGGAAAAUUAUAUUUAUUAUAAUUUAAGAAAAUAAGUAAAGUAUUAUUUAAUUAAUUAUAUAUUUAAAUAUUUACACUAAAAGAAUCGGAGAUCAAGGCAAAUUCUAGCGUUCAAAAGUUGUUUACAGGUUCUUCUGUUUUUGUUUACUCAUUUUAGCUGCUGCAUCCCCGUAGCCGCUUCCGUCGGCCUCCCAUUGGCUGCUUCGAACUCGUUCUUUUCCAACACCAUCCAUAGUCCUAUUGUCAUGUUCCGCCUUGUUAUCCUGUCGACUCAGCCUUAAACUGUCAUAGUUUAAGGUAAAGCCAAUAGGUGUAUUGUGGCAGUCAAGCGGCAAUGAGUUAUGGAAAUUUUCCGCCAGGCGGAGAGUGACAAGGACCAUGAUUGACAACACACUUCGGUGAUGUCCAAAGUAAUAUACCUGGGAGGAUUUUCUUGACCUUCCUUGACGCUGUUCCCUACAAUAAUGAACUAUAUGUCCGGGUUGUUCGCAGUGGAUACCGAUGGGUUUGUUGUCUUAGGUUCUCUAUUGUUCAUUUUCCUGGGUUGGGCUGGUCGGUUUAAAUAAUAAGGCGUGCAUGGUUGUUGUUGCACAACGUUAAUUUGUGGUCUUAUAGGUUGGAGAGCACGGCUGUUCCAGGGUGUUCACUUCUCAGAGAGGAUUGACCACUACAGGUGCUGGGAAGACCUUUUGAAAUACUUCUCUAACAAUGCAGCCAAUUAAGCUGGCCAAGUUGGCUUAUGAUGAUUUAAAGGAGAUUAGAAUGAGAAUAUGAAAAUUUUCCGAUUCUCUUAGAUAUAAUGCUUAAUGUCAGUUUACCGUUACAUACAGUAAUCUUCCAUUAUAUUAAGAAAAUAUGGACAUCAUUCAAAUAUAGAUUUUAAUAUUAGAUAAGUAGACCAGUACCUGAUAUACAAGGAAGAAUAGGAUUUGGUGUUUCAUAUCAAUUAAAUUGAUUGUUCAUUCUCUUCCCCCCCCCCCCCCCCCCCCCCCCCCCUUGAUAAGUAAUUUUAUUAUUAAUUAUUAUUAUAUUAUUUAUUAUACAAUUAAUUGAUAUGUAUGCUUUUGGAUGAAAAUUUUCAAUGGAAUUAUAGUAAUCAUUGUAAAGGAAGAAAUAAAGAACAGCAAAAAUAAAUGGUAAGGCAUUAGUCUCUUAAAAUAAUCCUUUUAUUAAUUUAUAAAAUUCAUUCAUGAAUAUUUGUCUUCAGGUGCAGGUGUUGGAUUCUUCAAUGUGAUUUGGGAAAGAUACUAGAAGCUUGCUGAUGUUUUAAGCUGUGCUUGCUUGGAUUCUGUCUAUUUUGGAUAGAUUGCUUUUAUUUGCAUUGGUACAGGCUGGGGCAGCAUAUUCCAAAAUACAAGGUACUUACAAAUGCAAGGUAUGUUGUGUGUAAGACAAUUGACAAUUAAAAUAAUUUUAUUGACAUCUUGUCAAUACAUGCAAAGUGCACAGUCUGUACUGUUUAAAAAAAAAAAGAUAAUAUGGAUUAUAUUAACUAUGUACAAUAAAUAUGGCGCCUCGGCCACCGCUGCAGAGUUUGGUGGAGAAUCUGGAGGAGAUGGUGAUGGCGUGGUCCUCGAGACCAACUGGAAAGAUCCAGGACUGUUGUGUGUAAGAUAUUGGCAUUUGCACCCCAGUUUAGGCUUGGUAUUUUUUUGAGAAUUCGUAACUUAUUUUUAGCUUUGUGUUUUAUGGUGUCAAUGUUUUUUAAAGGUGAGAGCAAGGUCAAGUGUGACACCAAAGAUAUCUUGGGGAUUCUGAAUAUUUGACUAUUGAGUUAUUCAAAAAAAUAUUUGUUGUCCAGUUGUUAAAAUCAAUAAAGAUUUUGAAUUUUUUUCCCCCGCUUGUAGAAAUACAAGAUUGAAUCAAGGAAAAGGUGAUUUAUUAAGCAAGGUACUAAAAACAAGAUGUUAGCAUGGUAAUAUAAAAAAUGUGGGUGUUGGAAAUAUGAGGGGCAAAAACUAUAUACAAAGACGUUGACUUCGGCGCCGCUGUGGCUGUUGAUUGGUCGAUCAUUCCUUUAACGUUCUAUAAAUAUUUUUAUCGUUAUUCCGACCAAAGAGGCCUAUUUAGUCCACAAAUUACCCAUCUAGCCCACCUACCUCUUAAUCUAGCAACCCAAAAUCCAGAAUUGGAAAAAGGAGGCCAGGCCAGUGGCAUGUGCUUUUAGCAACUGCUCUUGUUUUUGUUUUUUUUGUUGUUGCUGUUGCUGCCCUUCGCUUCCAGGAAAAAAUUUACUUGCUAGUGGAGGCCUGUUGUUAUUAGUUGGUUUAAAACAAUCAAUGCCUUACACAAACAAUUUACUUUGGAAGAACAACCAUUAUUUAUUUUUAUCUUCGGCUGCAGGUUGCAUCUAUUCUGACAUGAACAAACUAUCUUGAACUAAAUAUUUUUAUAUUGAUGAUUUAUAUAUGAUUUUUUAUUUAAAUUUACAUAGAUAGAUGUGAUAGAUGUGUGAUGAUAGAUAACAUAGUUUCUAUUGUUUACAUUCUAUGUACAGAACUGUGUUGCUGAGUUAAAAUAUAAUAUCAAUUAUAUUACAUCUUUGCUUUUUUUACAAAUCCAGUCUUUUCGGUGGCUUCACCAGGCGACUGCUUCUCGUGAACUUGUGUUCCACCCUGGUCUCUACCUCUUUAGCUGAACUAUCAGUUUCUGACUGGCCUAUUGGAGAGAGUGAAACUAUCACAACUGUGUGCGAAGGUAAUGAGGAUUUCUAGAUCUUUUUGUUUGAGAAUAAAUCUCUGGAGGCGGGGAUAUGGGGGACUUCCAUUUUAAAAGAAGGGAAGGAAGAGGAAGGUCUGUAAAGUGUGGAUAAGAGUUUGUUCAUAAGGUCCAAAAAGAACACCCACAUAAGAGCGAAGUAUGCAAAAGUUAAUUAUCUUUAAACACAUAUCCAUAAUAAAUGCAUGUCUGGAAUUCCUGAAUGAUGCAAUUAUUUGUUACAAUCCGUCAUCACUAACAAUAAAUGAAAGCUUAUAUUUGAAUCAUUUUCAAAGGAUAAAAUAAGUGCUGUUAUGCUUACCAUCUAAAUGUGAAAUGUAAUCUAUAUGACUUACCUGAUUAAACUGGAAUUAGUUCAAUAAGUAUAUUGUAAAUGAAGAUGCUCUACAUAAUUUUUAUUUUAGUUUAUAAUAUAAAUUGAGAAAUAUUAUAUGUUACAUGUUCAUUAAUGUUAAAUUAAUAACCAAUGUUACAUAUUGUUUAUGCAAAUUUACUUGUUUAUAUAUUUGUGUUUGUAUAUAUAUAUAUGUAAAUAUGUAUAUAUUUAUGAUGUUAAGCUCCUAACCAAAUGUAUCUUGAAUAUUUUGUAUAAUAAAUAUGUUUACACUUUUAUGUCUGCAUUUAUUUAUUUAUUUACAUAACAGCAAAGGGCAUACAUUCAAUGAUCAAUAUCUCAAGAUGGUGUGACAAUCAUUCAAUUGACAGGAUAUUAUGCAAAGUAUAUUUAAAAAAUCAAAAAGCCUUCUUGGUCAAAUUUUGUGGUAAGCGACUGCUUUUAGUGUAAGUACACCACAUGUCUACACAGGUGAAAAGCAGUUUGACUUUUGCCCUUACAAGUGUGCCAGAGCCCUGUUUGAUUACUUGCACUCGCUGGUGGGGUUAGAUUUUUGCAUGAAUCGGGGGCCAUUGUAACUUUUUUUUUUUUUGAAAAAGUGCUCAAUGCAGGAUUUGAUUCCGGAUCAUAGAGGUUGAAAACCCAAUAGAUUAGUCCACCCUUACACUGAUCCUCAUAAUGAAUGCAUAAACAUCUUUUGAUGUUAUAGUGGUGAUGCUUAUCUCCUCAGACCAUGUCUAGAAGUCCGUUCUUCUUUGUAAGAAGAGUAGAAUUCAUAUAUACCGAGUAGUUAGAUGUGUUUCUUUUCAAUGAGAAUAUCUGGGGCAUUACAAAGGUAGGAAUAUGACUUUGCCUGAUAAAGUUUAGCUGGGCUUAGUAGGAUGAUGGUCCUACCAGGAGUAAAAGACAUACUGUCCUGCCCAGGAUGCCAAUGCUGAGGCAAUUAACAGGACUUGGGAAGGUUUUUGAUGUUAUAAUAAAACUGUACACUAAGUUUUACACAUAAGAGUUUCCCUCUGUUCAGAAACAUUUGUUUAUGAGGUUGAAUGCUAACAAGUGAAUAAUGUGCCUACCUUUUUUGUUAGUCUUUUUUCUCAGAAUGGUAGAAAGUGAACUGUUUAUCUCCACAUAAACACAAGGUAAUAAAGCCAAAUUCAAAUAAAUAAAUAAAUAGUGUGUGACGUUUCGGUAACGGCGGUUACAUUUAUUUGGAUUUGGUCUUUAUUACCUUGUGUUUAUAAACUAUAAUCCAAAUUAUGCAUUAGCCUCUCUCCACAUGUUUGCUUGCCUCUUCUAAAGCUUUCUGAAAUAUAAGUUAUAUAAGCAGCUGUGGCCAAAAAGUACCCACAAAGAAACAUUGCAUAUUUGGCAAGAAUCCUCCAUUUUGUUUCAAGUGAACAACUCACAAGUACAGGUGAAAAAUUAAUGAUGGAGAUUCAGCCUUUCUUUUGCCCACCAUUACAGCUCCACUGCAAAACUUCUUGAUUUACAGGAUAAAAUAAUAGGUAGAAAAUCUAGGCUCACCAGAAACCUUGCAAAAUCCAAACCCAGCCACAACAUUUUCAGAUUCAGCAAUGAUUAUUUUUUGUGGAAUGCCAGAUUGGGAAAAUAUCCACUUUGUAGAGAAAAAUU
This 8859-nucleotide non-coding RNA is filed under the name Cordylochernes scorpioides. The record is from RNAcentral. Lineage: Eukaryota; Metazoa; Arthropoda; Arachnida; Pseudoscorpiones; Chernetidae.